CAGGGAGACCAACCAACUCAGCACAGAGAAAGUAUAUGUGUUGAAGUAUGGACAACCCUGGUCGAGCAAGGAUAAAGGUAUUGUCAAGUUAAACUUUCAAACUAGAGGUUAGGUUUUGUGUAUGGGCUAUUAGCUCAGUUGGUUAGAGCGCACCCCUGAUAAGGGUGAGGUCUCUGGUUCAAGUCCAGAAUGGCCCACCCAACCGAAUAAUAAGGGGGUAUAGCUCAGUUGGUAGAGCACUGCCUUUGCAAGGCAGGAGUCAGCGGUUCGAGUCCGCUUACCUCCAGGAGGGAGGAAAAACAGAAGUCAGCAACAAGACCUGAACCAAUCAAGUCAUGCUGCUGGUCAUCUAUGGAAAUGUCCAGUAAGAACCUUGAAAACUGCAUAGUAGAAAGAAGUUAAAGUAACUGAACCAGAGGUUAGGUUUUACCUAAGAAAAAAAAUCUAGUCAGGUAGAAAGUAAAGUGGUCAAGUUAUCAAGGGCUGACGGU
Molecule: transfer RNA, 491 nt
Filed under: Dapis pleousa FFP13-13
Lineage: Bacteria; Bacillati; Cyanobacteriota; Cyanophyceae; Oscillatoriales; Microcoleaceae
Description: partial 16S-23S ribosomal RNA intergenic spacer
Rfam family: tRNA (bases 214-286)
Source: RNAcentral